This 1247-nucleotide ribosomal RNA is filed under the name Triticum aestivum (bread wheat). Its description in RNAcentral is "partial small subunit ribosomal RNA". Lineage: Eukaryota; Viridiplantae; Streptophyta; Magnoliopsida; Poales; Poaceae. The record is from RNAcentral.
AUCUUUUUAGAUCGUUCGGGCUGUAGCCCCAACGCCCGAACGCUCGAGCACUUCUCUCCCUUAUCCUCUCACUCCACCGCACUAGCCUUUCCCCAUUCUCCUAUCCACUCCUCUCCUGGCUGCUCCUCGGGCCAGCAGCAACCGUCGACGGGGAGCGCAGCUCGCCUUGUGUCGCGGCGGAGCAGGCGGCGGAACAGCCGGAGGAUGAGGAAGCUGGUGGAGGCGCGGUGUGACGGCAGCGGUGCGUGGUGGCUCGCCGAGGACGAUGAAGCGAGCGGAGGCGGCGACUCCCAGGCCAGCGCGGAUCAGCGGGGCUCCGACGCCGUGAGGAUAUGGCUAAGAUGGAGGUGGCGCGGCGCGAGCACUCGGUGGCUGGGGCACGUCGCGGAUGCAGCUGCGUGGUUGCGCUUGGAGUGCGAGUAAGCGGGCGGGGGCAGCGGCGCUGAGGCCCGCUAGACUCCGGUGGAUGUGGCCCUUGGUCGCCGCCGUCCGCUGGUCUCUUCGCCCGGCGAAUCGACGCCGGAUUUGUAGGGUCCAACGGCGCGGGGUGGCUCUGGUGACCUUGCGCAAGGACGGCACGCGCGGGGAAGACAACCACCAUGGCCAACCUAGUGGCGUCCCUGGGGCUCGGCAAUCACGAUGGGGUUCGAACUUCGCGGCCCGUGACGAGGCGGCUGUCGGCGCCAGAGGUCGACUCCCCGGUCAACGUCUCCUUCCUACGAAGGUACGCAUAUACUAUUGCCUCUACUCUGCUAACGCUAUUCUUACACGGAAACCUGCAUAAAUCAUGCUUAUUAAGACUAAAUUGUGAGUGUUGCUUUACUGGACAGAAGAAGAGAUUAUUCUUCAGAGAAUUGUGGCGUUUCUUUUGGUUUGUAACCAUCAUCAAUAACACAUGGGCAACUAUUCAGUAAUCUGUGUACCUUACACUACUUCCUCUUGUUUGUACUGAUAUGUGGAUUCCUCAAAUUUUGAAGCAGCCUCAACGUUACCAUCAGAUUCUAAUUCACUUUGGCAUGUCUCAAAUUCUGUUAUAUUUUUUCCUAGCUGAUUUCUGAGUCAAGUUGUGAUAAAUUAGUUAGCUUAGCUAUGUACUGAAGUUAGUUUAGUUUGGUGUGUACCCGAGGUUCUGCUUAAAAUAGUUACCAUUGUAUUAGACAUAUAUUUGACAUCUUAUUUAGCAAGAUAUUCCUCGAGAAUAGAUACAGUUUCCAUCUUGUCAAUUACAACUCCGACGUACAUUUUUU